UUACGGCCAUAUCACGUUGAAAUAUUAUUUCCCGUACGAUCACCGAAGUUAAGCAACGUCGAGCCUGGCCAGUACCUAGUUGGAUAACUGCUUGAGAAUACCAGAUGCUGUAAG
Molecule: non-coding RNA, 114 nt
Organism: Acanthosepion pharaonis
Lineage: Eukaryota; Metazoa; Mollusca; Cephalopoda; Sepiida; Sepiidae
Source: the annotation of a GenBank genome assembly